RNAcentral lists this ribosomal RNA (478 nucleotides) under uncultured bacterium. RNAcentral describes it as "partial 16S ribosomal RNA". It matches the Rfam family "Bacterial small subunit ribosomal RNA", at positions 28 to 507 of the family's 1533-position model. The record is from RNAcentral.
GAUGAACGCUGGCGGCGUGCCUAACACAUGCAAGUCGAACGGAGUCCAGCCUUUAAGACCUUCGGGUCAAAGAGGGGAAGACUGAGUGGCGGACGGGUGAGUAACACGUGGGCAACCUGGCUCAUAGAGGGGGAUAACAGAGAGAAAUUUCUGCUAAUACCGCAUAAGCACACACUGCCGCAUGGCAGAGGGUGAAAAGAGAAUCGCUAUGAGAUGGACCCGCGUCUGAUUAGCCAGUUGGCAGGGUAAGAGCCUACCAAAGCGACGAUCAGUAGCCGAUCUGAGAGGAUGCACGGCCACAUUGGGACUGAGACACGGACCCAACUCCUACGGGAGGCAGCAGUGGGGGAUAUUGCACAAUGGGGGGAACCCUGAUGCAGCGACGCCGCGUGAGUGAAGAAGUAUUUCGGUAUGUAAAGCUCUAUCAGCAGGGAAGAUAAUGACAGUACCUGAAUAAGAAGCCCCGGCUAACUACGUG